RNAcentral lists this unclassified non-coding RNA (272 nucleotides) under Chaetothyriales sp. Its description in RNAcentral is "partial contains internal transcribed spacer 1". The record is from RNAcentral. Lineage: Eukaryota; Fungi; Ascomycota; Eurotiomycetes; Chaetothyriales.
AAGUCGUAACAAGGUUUUCCUUCCGGUUCAAAGUUUUUGAACCUGCCGAAGCCUGACAUGGCGACUUUAAAUAAGCAUGGAGUCCUACCCCGGGGGCAGGACAAUGCCGCUGAAAUGCUGUGAUCAACGUGACCGUUGUACCAGCAGCCCUCCACUGGGCCCACAGAUCAAGCCGCGGCGGUCUUACCUGGAAUAACCUGGUAGACUUUAAUAUGACCGGUCUCGCCCGUGACGGCUGAGAGUUGACGUUCCGUAGGUGAACCUGCGGAAGG